CCUUAGCUCAGUUGGUAGAGCAACUGACUUUUAAUCAGUAGGUCGAGAGUUCGAGCCUCUCAGG
RNAcentral lists this transfer RNA (64 nucleotides) under marine eukaryotic metagenome. It matches the Rfam family "tRNA", at positions 5 to 66 of the family's 71-position model. From Rfam's summary of the family: Transfer RNA (tRNA) molecules are approximately 80 nucleotides in length. The record is from RNAcentral.